RNAcentral lists this ribosomal RNA (497 nucleotides) under uncultured bacterium. RNAcentral's name for it is "partial 16S ribosomal RNA". It matches the Rfam family "Bacterial small subunit ribosomal RNA", at positions 28 to 507 of the family's 1533-position model. The record is from RNAcentral.
GAUGAACGCUGGCGGCGUGCCUAAUACAUGCAAGUCGAACGAGCAGACGAGGACCUGUCUCCUCUGACUUUAUCGGCGGACGGGUGAUUAACACGUGGAUAACCUACCUAUAAGACUGGGAUAACUUCGGGAAACCGUAUCUUAUACCCGAUAAUUUAUUGAACCUCAUUGUUCACUAGUUGAAUUCGGUUUUUCUGUCACUUAUAGAUUGAUACGCGCCGCAUUAGCUAGUUGGUAAGGUAAUUGCUUACCAACGCAACGAUGGGUAGCCGACCCGAGAGCGUGAAUCGCCACACUGGAACUGAGAAACGGUCCAGACUCCUACGGGAGGCAGCAGUAGGGACUCUUCCGGAAUGGAGGAAAGCCUGACGUAGCACAGCCGCGUGAGUGAUGAAGGUCUAAGGCUCGUAAAACUAUGAAAUUAGGGAAGUAGAAAUGUGUAAGUAACUAUGAUCAUAUUGACGGUACCGAGUGAAAAAGCCACGGCUAACUACGUG